UGGGGAAUAUUGGGCAAUGGGCGCAAGCCUGACCCAGCAACGCCGCGUGAAGGAAGAAGGCUUUCGGUUGUAAACUUCUUUUGUCAGGGACGAGUAGAAGACGGUACCUGACGAAUAAGCCACGGCUAACUACGUGCCAGCAGCCGCGGUAAUACGUAGGGGCAAGCGUUAUCCGGAUUUACUGGGUGUAAAGGGAGUGUAGGUGGCUGCGCAAGUCAGGAGUGAAAGCCCGGGGCUCAACCCCGGGACUGCUCUUGAAACUGCGCGGCUUGAGUGCAGGAGGGGCAGGCGGAAUUCCUAGUGUAGCGGUGAAAUGCGUAGAUAUUAGGAGGAACACCGGUGGCGAAGGCGGCCUGCUGGACUGUAACUGACACUGAGGCUCGAAAGCGUGGGGAGCAAACAGGAUUAGAUACCCUGGUAGU
RNAcentral lists this ribosomal RNA (422 nucleotides) under uncultured Lachnospiraceae bacterium. RNAcentral describes it as "bacterial SSU rRNA". It matches the Rfam family "Bacterial small subunit ribosomal RNA", at positions 355 to 794 of the family's 1533-position model. Lineage: Bacteria; Bacillati; Bacillota; Clostridia; Lachnospirales; Lachnospiraceae. The record is from RNAcentral.